AUAUAUAUAUAUAUGUAUUGUGAUUUCUAUAUCCCUUCUCAUCAUGAUAUUUCCAUGUUGUACGUAAAAAAAGAGUUUCAUACUCAUUUAUAACAUUCAUUAGUGUGAUAUAAUUGAGUAAGAAAUAAAAUAUAGUCAGAUUAGGACACUCACUGACUUGAGAUUGUCUGGAUAAGUAUGAUUCUAUAAGCCAGAAUGAAGUCAGUCAUUUCCUCUCCCUCAAAUAAUCAUGAAAAGGUUUAAUGUACUUAAGUAAUUGCAGGAAUAUAUAUAUAUAUAUAUAUAUAUAUAUAUAUAUAUAUAUAUAUAUAUAUAUAUAUAUAUAUAUAUAUAUAUAUAUAUAUAUAUAUAUCUUUUGCUAAUACGUCAGUGAAUGUAAAUGGGGUUUGAUAUAUGGUGCCUGUUCCAUCUGAUCACUGUAUUAAGGUAUUGUUCAUAGUUAUAAACAACAGGAAACAAACAAUUAUUCUCUAAGGCCAAAAGAGCUGCAAUGAAAAGAAAUCAAGCAUAAUCCAGCAUAAUUUCAUAAUUUUAUUCCACUUGUUACAUAGUUUAUUGCAUCUUUCAUCAUGCACAUGUCUAGUAUUAAGUCUAGAUGCCGGUCCUGGUGUCAGGCCAAAGGUGCCAUAUUACUAUACCUGACCCAAACAAUACACAUUUAAUGCCAAGCUACCAGUUGUCAUAUUACCCCACUACAGUUGAAAGUCCCUUGCAAUGCUUUGGUUCAUUAUCAUUACCACAAUUCAGCAUUUUGAAGGGUACAUCUUAUUUCAGCAUAAUCAAUAGGUUUGUAUGAUUAGUUAUUGAAAUAUAAAACUAGAAAAUAUUAUAUGCAUUUUUCUCUCAGUUUUGGUGUUAUAGUAAACUGAUAUUGAUACCACAAGAAAGAACUGUAUUUAGUUUCCAAAUCUUUAAUUUCUCAUUAUCAAUACAAGGAAAUUACCGAUUUCCUUGCAUAUAAGCUGUUGUUAGAAAAGAAGGUCUAUGUAUCCAUCCAAGUCACUUUCACACAUUUUGUUACUUUUGGCUACCAUAGAUAUUUCAUUUUAAUGUAUAUUAUUAGUUAUAAGUUUCUUAAUGAAUUCUACAUCAGCAGGGCCCAAGCAUCACCCUACUGGGCCCUUGUAUUCAGGUGAAGCUUGGGCCAUUCUCCAUCCUUUAAUAAAUGAUGAUGAUCAUCAAUAUUAUCAUACUUUGAUGUCUUGCUCCAUUUUGGAGGUUCAUGGCAUGUUAACCUCCUUUACAGGCUGUUCUGCAAUGCCUCCAUAAACCUUUGCUUUUGAUAUUAUGAAAGUUUUCAAUAGAUUCUGACAUAAUCUUUAGUUUUUCACCAUCCUUACAUAUUGCUUUUAUUUUUUUAUCUUAUGUAUGUGUUGUACUGCCAUACAUAUACGAGUAUGAAUCUUAUAUUGCCUGCUCUUCCAACAGAUCCUUAAGUACUUUUUGUAUGUGGUGGUAUUUUUGUCUUGUUUCUGGACCAUAGAGGUUAAUCAUAGCAGCUGCAUUUCAUCAGUCCAUUUAGUUGCAUGAUUAGGUUAGAUAUUCACACAGUGGUGUAGGCCAUUCACCUAUGGUCACCUACUGGUUCCCUCAGCCACCCAUUCCCCUCUUACAGAAAGAACUCAAAAACCAUGUUCAUAUCCAUUACUCCAUCACUCUAGCAGAGGAAAAGUUCAUUUGACAAGUGAUUCAUUCUUGUUUCAGUAGCAUUAUUAUUACAUUUUGAAAUAGUUUAGUUUCUAUAGAAGGAAUAAUAUUUAAUGAAUUUGAUAGAUCACAAGACCAUAAAUCAUUUGAAGUUCACAAAAUAACAAUAUAGUAAAAGAGCUCUGUUUUAGCAACUGGUAUUGUAAAUGUAAUUUUUCACUAUAAAGACAUUAAAUUAGUUUUAUUUUGUAGACAUUGUUUUGUGAUGAGAAAGUAAGAGUGCUUAACAGAUUAAACUGCUAUUACAUGAUCAUGAUCAAUAUUUCUCUCACUCCAUCAGUUAUAAGGUAGGCAUGCCUGCCAAUCCAUUGCGGAAUCAUUCCUCAUGAUGGUAACUAAUCACGCGAGUAGUAAGCUACAUGCAGAUGAGGAAGAUGGUUUACCUAAAUUUAUAGUAAGGGUUUAGCUGCUAAGGGAGCAAUAAAGCUGAUUUACGAAAGAAAAAAAAAAUUAGCUUUUGGAUUAAUUUCAUGUACGUUUUAUUUUUAUUUUUUAUUUUAUUUUUUUUUAGUUUUCUGCAUAAUUAUUUAUAAGGUUUCCCAAAGUAAUGUGUGUCUGUGUUAGGGGAAGGAUUUCAAAGAUAGGCUACAUCAGAAAGGUAUAGUUAAGUUCUUGUUGCUUAUUUGGAGAACUUCACAGAUGAUAGUGUUUAUAUGGAUGAAAAGAAAGGUAUGAGAUCGCUGAGAGUAAUGAAAAGAAUUUCUUUUUGAUGACUAAUCAGCUUGGGUUUUAGCAAGGUCUCUGGAGUGCGGCAUUCCCAUGACGUAGGAGGAACAAGAGAUGCAUGGCUGUACGCAGUGAAGGCGAUCUUUUUUCACGAUACCCUUCGAGGUGAUUACACUGUGUGAAUAUAUGUAACAUUACAUAAUAACAUUGUGAACCACUGAAUAAACAAAAUAAAUAAAUAAGGUUUUCCACAACGCUGGCAGGUAUUCUAAGAAAUGGUAAUAGUUCCUAGAAUAGUUUCGCACCAACUUGAACUAGUCUCGAGUCGAAUCAAGAGUCAUGAAGCCUCGGAUUGCUCGGAUCCUUGCAGCAUCAGCCUUCUCAUACGAAGGCCACGCAUCAGCUUGGUAAAUUUAGAGAAAGAGGCUGGCAUAAAAGUUUUGUUUGUUAGUGAGGCUUUAAUUUUAUAUACUGCUUUGAGCUAAAGAAGGUAGUGUUGAGCCAUAGUGUGUGAAGAACCUGAAGAGUCAUCACCUGUGCCAGACACCGAGGAAAGAUCUUGGUUGUCGAGGUUAUUAGUCAGACUCAGAGGGUGAACAGCAAUGCACACAAGAUCGCAAAACCGACGAGUGUGUCAGUGUCCUACAAGCGUCCUCUCCCUCACACCCAUUCGUGGGGAGCAAAGCAAUAAAUAGGAUCAGCUCGGACACUUACUGCCGCAGGGAAGGCAACAUCGUGUCCCUCGUGCCCUCCACCUGCCGUCCCUCGUAAUGGAUAAUGUCCCCUGCGCCCUUCAUCUCCCUCCUUCACACCGCCGGCCGUCUGUCAGCCUCCCCGCCCGAGCAAACACGGUGACCAGUAAUGCAACACACCUGUCAUGGCUGGUUCGUGCCUUAUCCUCCCAAUUCAUCACUGAGGGUGGGGAAGAGCGUCUGACAGCGGUGCGGCAAGAGAAAUGACACAUACUACUGCAAGAUCUGCCCGGAGUUUGUCUUUCUUUCGUCUUACAAUUGGUGGCAGCCGGAGGAAAGUUGGAAUGUUUGUAGGUGAAAGGGAACGGAGGAAAGGAGGCAUAAAAGAAGUGUGGCAGUGAGAAAGGAGGGAAAGUUUGUAGUGUGGAACGAGUUUGGUUUAUAGCGGGGGGAAGUUUAAACUCGUACAGGGAAGAAGCGAAUGUUUGGUUGGUGUUUGGGCGGUGCGUUCACAGGGAAAGGGCAAGGCGUGAUGGAAGAGGAUAAGGGUUGAGAGAGAGAGAGAGAGAGAGAGAGAGAGAGA
Long non-coding RNA from Portunus trituberculatus (swimming crab), 3648 nucleotides. RefSeq lists it as uncharacterized. NCBI's taxonomy places the organism in Eukaryota, Metazoa, Arthropoda, Malacostraca, Decapoda, Portunidae. The record is from RefSeq and is a predicted model, not a curated record. The transcript has 3 exons.